RNAcentral lists this unclassified non-coding RNA (225 nucleotides) under Hevea brasiliensis (rubber tree). The record is from RNAcentral. Lineage: Eukaryota; Viridiplantae; Streptophyta; Magnoliopsida; Malpighiales; Euphorbiaceae.
AGCAGGUUCUCCCAAUUCAAUGCUUUCUUUCAAUGCCAAAGCACGCACUGUCAUUGGCCGUGGUAAAAUUUCUGGAGGAGGUGCAAAGAUGUCAUGUCCACUGAGCUCCUUGCACUUGGCUUCAGAAAGCUGCUUCUUCAACCUGGCCUCUUUCUCAGCCUCACUUUCUAAGGUCCCACUUAGUUCUCGUUGCUUUGCCACCUCAGGUAAAGUAGUAGGUUUUUU